AAAUUCCUUUCUUUUUUCCCCUUUUCCUUUCAUUUAAACAUCCACCCAAGCAAAUUGGGCCCUUUCCUUCCGGGAAGAACGACCAGGCUUGAACCCACGACCUCGCGUUCCCGAGUCCUGCUCGCGCCCCCUUUUUCCUCUCCUCCCCCGCGAGCCCCUCCUUUCUCUACAGAGAAGAAUGAGCAGUGGCCUCUGCGCCUAAAACAGCGCCAUCUUCUCUGUUUCAUUUGUUUCAUUUGUUCCAAUUACACAGCCAAUCGGAGGCCGCCCUCGUUUCAAUUUCUCCAGUUUACAUGCUUUUUGCGCCCAAUCGGGAGGCCCGCUUGUUUCAAUUUCGUCACGUGGUAUCGGCUCUCCCUUCCGCCGUUUCAAAUGGCACUUCGGGAAGUGCCGUAGGUGACCGGAGUUAUGCGACAGGAGCGCGUUUUUACUAAGUUUUUGAAUUAAUUAGACAUUAAACAUAUAGAAACGUUCAUAUUUACGUGUUCGCAUUGUUUAUAACUUGCUAGCCAGCUGGCUGUCACGCCGUUUUUCUCUCUUUUAAAAGCAGCGUUAGCGUUUAUAUCGUCUAAAACGGUAGCUAGCUAUAUUAGCUAUCGCCUGUUUCAGUAAGUUUUUGAAUGAACUUUAUAUUAAAAAUAUUGAAACGUUCAUAUUUGCGCGUUCGAAAUGUUUAGAACUUGCUAGCCAGCUGGCUGUCACGCCGUUUUUCUCUCUUUUAAAAGCAACGUAAGUGUUUAAAUCACCUACAAUGGCAGCUGCCAAUAUUAGCUAAAGAACGAAUGAAUUAAUAAUCAAUCGUUCAAUAACUUUGCAGUUAUGUCAGCGCGUUACGUGUGCGCUUUUACCUAUGAAAUAUGUCGUAAGACACAUUUGGCAUGUCCCGUGCUUCAUUUUUCAUUAUAAAACGUAGCAUUCUCUUGCUUGCAAUGUGUACAUCUGCCUGGCUUGUUAACCAGAAUUAGUCACGUUAAAGGGGUUCUGGCCAGUUAAUUAUUAGCUAAUACGAUUAAUUUAAUCAUUUAUGUCCAAAGGUUUAAAGGAUGUGGCCUGACAGUCCAGCAGACAAACGUUUUACAUGAGUUAUAACAGUGUAGCUGUUUUUUUGCAUAAGUCUGUCAAAGAGUAAUGGCAUCUCAGUAGCUACUUUAAAAAUACAGGUGUUUAAAUUGCAUGAAAGGAACUUAAAAUGUAAGCACUGCAAUGGAGUGUGAGUACAUGUGUGUCCGGACACGCCGAGGGACCCCUACAAGUCAAAGGACAGGAGCAGGAAUCGAGCGGGUUCCAUAAAAUAUUGCUUUCUGCGGCAGGUGCUCUUGUUGCAAUUUUGCAGAGAUGAAGAGGAGGGCCGGCCCCAGCCAAAGCGGUCCUUCCUGCCACCGAGGCCUGCCUCGCAAAGUUCUGAGCUGCCGAUUCCUGAGUUGCCGUGCGGCCUUCUCGAGGGAACAGCGGGAGCGGAUUGGUCGGGCGCUGUAUGUAUUGUAUGAGAAAUGUAC
Molecule: long non-coding RNA, 1496 nt
Organism: Anguilla anguilla (European eel)
Lineage: Eukaryota; Metazoa; Chordata; Actinopteri; Anguilliformes; Anguillidae
Exons: 2
Source: RefSeq, a predicted model, not a curated record